This 233-nucleotide small nuclear RNA is filed under the name Jaculus jaculus (lesser Egyptian jerboa). RNAcentral describes it as "7SK RNA (ENSJJAG00000006833.1)". It matches the Rfam family "7SK RNA". From Rfam's summary of the family: 7SK was discovered as an abundant small nuclear RNA in the mid-70s but a possible function has only recently been suggested. Lineage: Eukaryota; Metazoa; Chordata; Mammalia; Rodentia; Dipodidae. The record is from RNAcentral.
GGAGAUGCAAGGGCCAUCUGGCUGCAACAUCUGUGCCCUUCCUCCCUCAUCACUCCAUGUGCAUCCCUCCAGAAGCUGCACACUCAGAAACCAUCCCUGGGUAGAAGAGGACCAGUCCCCAGUCAAGGAUCUACAAAUAGCAGAACUCCCUGCUAAAACCUCCAAACAAGCUCUCAGGAAUUAAUAUGUUGGAAACUGACCCAACUGUACUGGGAUCUCAUAUGUGCUACCAC